UACGUAAGGGGCUAGCGUUGUUCGGAAUCAUUGGGCGUAAAGGGCGUGUAGGCGGUUUAAUAAGUUGGAUGUGAAAUUUCGGAGCUUAACUCCGAAACUGCGUUCAAAACUGUUAGACUAGAGUUCAGGAGAGGAUAGUGGAAUUCCUGGUGUAGGGGUGAAAUCUAUAGAUAUCAGGAAGAACACCGGUGGCGAAGGCGGCUAUCUGGCCUUGAACUGACGCUGAGGCGCGAAAGCUAGGGGAG
This 245-nucleotide ribosomal RNA is filed under the name uncultured bacterium. RNAcentral describes it as "partial 16S ribosomal RNA". It matches the Rfam family "Bacterial small subunit ribosomal RNA", at positions 524 to 768 of the family's 1533-position model. The record is from RNAcentral.